GAGCUUGAUUGCAAGACAUACAGGUCGAGCAAGGAUGAAAAUCGGACUUAGUGAUCCGGUGGUUCUGCGUGGAAGGGCCAUCGCUCAACGGAUAAAAGCUACCCUGGGGAUAACAGGCUUAUCUCCCCCAAGAGUCCACAUCGACGGGGAGGUUUGGCACCUCGAUGUCGGCUCAUCACAUCCUGGGGCUGUAGUAGGUCCCAAGGGUUGGGCUGUUCGCCCAUUAAAGUGGUACGCGAGCUGGGUUCAGAACGUCGUGAGACAGUUCGGUCCCUAUCCGUCGCAGGCGUAGGAAAUUUGAGAAGACCUGUCCUUAGUACGAGAGGACCGGGAUGGACGUACCUCUGGUGUACCAGUUGUUCUGCCAAGGGCAUGGCUGGGUAGCUAUGUACGGAAUGGAUAAGCGCUGAAAGCAUCUAAGCGCGAAGCCAACUUCAAGAUAAGAUUUCCCACCGCAAGGGUAAGACCCCAGAAAGACUAUCUGGUUGAUAGGUCGAAGGUGUAAGUGCAGCAAUGUAUUUAGCUUAUCGAUACUAAUAGGUCGAGGACUUGACCAAAUU
RNAcentral lists this ribosomal RNA (560 nucleotides) under Clostridioides difficile. RNAcentral's name for it is "partial 23S ribosomal RNA". It matches the Rfam family "Bacterial large subunit ribosomal RNA", at positions 2365 to 2925 of the family's 2925-position model. The record is from RNAcentral. Lineage: Bacteria; Bacillati; Bacillota; Clostridia; Peptostreptococcales; Peptostreptococcaceae.